AGAGUUUGAUCCUGGCUCAGGACGAACGCUGGCGGCGUGCUUAACACAUGCAAGUCUACGAGAAAGAGGUAGCAAUAUCUUGAUUAAAGUGGCGCACGGGUGCGUAACACGUAAGCAAUCUACCUUUAGGUCUGGAAUAACUCCGAGAAAUCGGGGCUAAUACCGGAUGAUGCAGCGGCACCGCAUGGUGAUGUUGUUAAAGAUCUUGUAUCGCCUAUAGAUGAGCUUGCGUCUGAUUAGCUAGUUGGUGAGGUAACGGCCCACCAAGGCAACGAUCAGUAGCUGGUCUGAGAGGAUGAUCAGCCACACUGGAACUGAGACACGGUCCAGACUCCUACGGGAGGCAGCAGUGAGGAAUAUUGGGCAAUGGCCGAAAGGCUGACCCAGCAACGCCGCGUGGAGGAUGAAUGUCGUAAGAUUGUAAACUCCUGUUAGAGGGGAAGAAUAGUUCCGAUCGCAUCGGAAUCUGACUGUACCCUCAGAGAAAGCCCCGGCUAACUACGUGCCAGCAGCCCGCGGUAAUAC
Molecule: ribosomal RNA, 525 nt
Filed under: uncultured Ignavibacteriaceae bacterium
Lineage: Bacteria; Pseudomonadati; Ignavibacteriota; Ignavibacteria; Ignavibacteriales; Ignavibacteriaceae
Description: bacterial SSU rRNA
Rfam family: Bacterial small subunit ribosomal RNA
Source: RNAcentral